AUUCCCAAAUCUCUUCGCAAGGGACUGGCCACCGUGACGCUGCUGACGGGAUGGAUGAUCUAGAAACAGCAUAACGCCUGCGUCUUCUAUGGGAUUCCCUCUGUCCACUUGCUGACCGAGAAAAUCAGAGCCGAGGCAGCGCUCUGGGCUCGAGCUGGGGCUGCUAGUCUUCGCUUGGUGAUCCCAAACACCUGGGAUGUCCAUUAA
Molecule: ribosomal RNA, 207 nt
Filed under: Triticum aestivum (bread wheat)
Lineage: Eukaryota; Viridiplantae; Streptophyta; Magnoliopsida; Poales; Poaceae
Description: partial small subunit ribosomal RNA
Source: RNAcentral